CUUUUCUGGUUGAUUUCCUGAAGGGGAAACUUGGACAAUUUUCCUUUGCUCUUUUUUAUUAUAAUCUGUCUCCAAUGUUAUUAUCAUCCUAUUAUUAUAGGCAAAAUGGAAGGAAAUCCUUGCCCAUACAACCAUAACAAUCAAGGAAAAACUACUACACUGAAGAUGAGGUUGAACAAAAGAGAGCAAAGGAAAAUUGUCCCAGUUUCCCCUUCAGGAAAAUCAACCAGAAAAGAAUGUAGCUUCUCUCUCCCUUAUGGUUUCCAUAGAAUAGUAGUCUCUGCAAUCAUGGACGUGACUACAUAAGGAUCCAUAUUGGAAGCAGGCCUUCUGUCCUCAAAAUAGCCUUUCCCAGCUUUCUCCGUCUCCCUACCAACUCUAACUGAGGCUCCACGAUUUGCCACACCCCAUAAGAAGUUGUUAAUGUCAGCUGUUUCAUGUCGACCGGUCAAACGACGCUCAUUGCCUUCCCCAUAUGCAGCUAUAUGCUCCCUGUGCCUUAAUCCAAGCUUUUCAAUGGCCUUUUUUAUGACUUCAUAACCGCCAUCACUUCUCAUGGAUUUUGUGCUGUAGUUUGCGUGAGCACCAGCCCCAUUCCAAUCACCCUCGAUUGGUUUAGGGUCGAAGGAAAGGACUACUCCAGCAAUCUCUGUAAUCCUCUCAAGAAUAUAACGAGCCACCCACAACUCAUCUCCAGCAGAGAUGCCAACAGCAGGGCCUACUUGGAAUUCCCACUGGCCAGGCAUCACUUCUCCAUUGAUGCCAGAAAUGUUGAUCCCAG
This 781-nucleotide unclassified non-coding RNA is filed under the name Hevea brasiliensis (rubber tree). Lineage: Eukaryota; Viridiplantae; Streptophyta; Magnoliopsida; Malpighiales; Euphorbiaceae. The record is from RNAcentral.